UUCACUUCCGUCUUUUCCUUAACUGCUCGCCCCCGUCAUGCUGCCAGCGUCUCAGCAAUGAUGCCAGCAAUUCCUCCGGCAUUCUGCCCUUCCCCCACCCCUUGCGGCCAUGGCCCAAGUUACAGCCUAUGGGACCUCGCUCCUCCCGCCCCGCAAGUGAGAGCGGAACGCAUGGAGUCCCCCCGGGCACGGCAAGGAAGCCAUCACUGCCUGCCAGGACCUGCUUUGCAAAACCAAACCCAAUGACAGAGAGCAACAUGAAUAUGUCUGACCGACGUUCAUCGCUGACCAUGAGUGACAUCCUCUAGUCCAGCUCAGAGAAAGAGAGACACAUGAAUAUGAUUGACUGCGAAAAGAACAAGAAGAACUCUGCCUUGGGCCAGAAAAACAGUAUAAGAACAGACUGUACCAGACCACAUUUGUGAACAGAGUGGGUUUGGUGUGAUAGAGGCCGGACCAUGAUUCACCCGGCGUCGAUUCCCGGGGUCGAUGUUGUCUCUUAUUUUUGUGGCUUUUGAUACUGUAUAUCGGUCACACAAUAAAUUCUAUUUUUGAUUUUUUAAUUAAA
Molecule: long non-coding RNA, 568 nt
Organism: Passer domesticus (house sparrow)
Lineage: Eukaryota; Metazoa; Chordata; Aves; Passeriformes; Passeridae
Exons: 2
Source: RefSeq, a predicted model, not a curated record